Molecule: long non-coding RNA, 1919 nt
Organism: Prionailurus viverrinus (fishing cat)
Lineage: Eukaryota; Metazoa; Chordata; Mammalia; Carnivora; Felidae
Exons: 5
Source: RefSeq, a predicted model, not a curated record
GCGGCCUGACGUAACCGGGCGCUCGGCCCCGCCGAACGCGGCUGACGCUGCGCGGCCAGAGAGCAGGCCCCGCCGCCGCCUGGGCUUGGAACGCAGCGCGCGCGGCCAUGGCCUCCGGCGCCGCAGCUAAGCGGGCGCAGGGCGAGCGGGCGGCGAGACGGCAGCCCCGGCCCCGGCCCCGUCCCCAGCGCGGGGCUGACCGUGUGCCCCCUCGUCUCGUCCCACAGAGGCGGACCCUCGACAGAGGCUGCUGCGCACCGUCAAGAAGGAGGAGGAGAUAAGAAUGCUGAGGAAGACUCUAUAACCAGUCUUUCUGACAAACCUGGUCCUGGAGAUUCAUGGCCUACAUCAGCUAGCCAAGACGUAGAUUUCGGUACCAAGGAAGGAACAGCAAAGUCAGCAAUGGAAGCAAAGGAAGAUGGUGUUGGUAUUAUUGAAAAUGUGCCACCAGAGCAAACAGUUAAUGACAGUGUGACUUCUGCUGGUGGAGUGCAUAAAAAUUGCAGAAGUGAUAUGAUGUCAGCAUUAGAAUUAGGAGAAGAGGAAGAUGUAGAAUCACCUUCUCUUCCUGAGGUACUGUCUUCUUCUUAUUUUUAAGUAUAAGCAUGGAGUGAUGUUAAAACGUCCAAGAGAUGCUUUGACUUCACUCUCUCAUCUCUGCAUUUGCCCACAGAAACAACUUCCUUCUAUGUUUUCCUAUAUGUGAUAAAAUAAUUAUGUGUUAAUUAUGAGCACACAGCAUAGUAGAGUUCUGCUAAUUUGCAGACGUAAUGAAAGUUGUGUAGUAUUAGUGCAGAAAACGAAGGCUUGGAGGGAAUGAGUUUGGGUUUUGAAGUUAAGGUAUCUGAAACACUAAAGAAUUACUCUAGGUCAACGUAUGGCCAAGUGUAUGAUCCUGUGGUGUAUACGGGAUCAUGUGUCAGACUCCUCCUGACAUCCAGAAAGAGUUUGGAUUAUGGUGUUUACAACUUGAACCUUCCAAAGAUAUGGCCUGGGACUUGAUAAUAAUAUGUUUGGAUUGUCAAGUAGAUCUACAAGGAGCAUUGGGAUUAUGAUGAGCACAGUUUGGUUUAGUGGUGCUUCAAUAAGUAAAACCCAUUUUGGAUAAUUAAAAUAACUUCGCAGUCCUACUUGUGGUAAUGUAAGUAAAGUAAUGAUGACCUAUUCUAAGGUGACAACUAGGGAAGGAGGUGAAAAGGUUCUGAUCUCUUAGGCUCAGGCAGCUGCUGCAUAAUGCUACAAGCACUGUACUUGAAAUCAAAAGACAUGCUAGCAUCUUGGUUCCGUCACUUCCUAGCUGUGGCAUCUUGGAAAAACUUGCUUGAAUGUCAAUGACCUCGUUCCUAAAAAUGGCACUAAUAGCCACCUCUUGGUUAUGUGGAAUGAACAAAUGUGGCAACGUUUUGUAAACUGUAAAGCGUGCUAUAGAAAUAGAAGACAAAAUGAUCGCAGUGGCUUUUAGUGACUUACUAUAUAUUGAGGAUACUUUGUUUGGUGAAUGUUUGUUUAUUGUUGAGAGCGGGGUGGGGGGACAGAAGAUCCGAAGCAGGCUCUGCACUGAGAGCAAGGAGCCCAAUGCAGGACUCGAACUCAUGAAAUUGAGAACAUGACCUGAGCCAAAGUUGGGCGCCUAGUCGACUAAGUCACCCAGGCCCCCCAAGAAAAUACUUGUUUGAAAUGUGAAGAUGUCUGAAGGCCAAUAAAAUGGCCAUAGUGUCCAGAAAAGAAUGGGAAAGUAGGAACGGGGUUUUGAUUUUCUAAUUUGGCUCUAUGUUAAGUUCCAGUAAUCUCUUGGUGGAGACAUCAUACAGGUAUGCAGUUGACCCUUGAACCAGGUGGGUUUGUACCGUGGGAGUCCACUUACACACAGAUAUUUUUCAAUAAAUAGAGUACUCUCCUGUAAACGUAUUUUCUGUUCC